AUAGCAGUGUUAACUGGCUGUAUUUAUUUGUUUCUUCAGAACGUGACGAGGGAGGGUGGGUGGUUGAGCCUGGACCCAUCAGAAGGACAUUCCUGGGUCCUACUCUUCCUCUGGCUCCCCUCCGAUGGUUCCCCCACCUGCCUUGACUGUUAUUCUCACGGAUUCUUGCUUAAUACAUGUGUCCACUUUCCUAUAUUAGGAUGGAGUGUCUGCUGUGCUGGAGAAGAAGAGAGUGAAACGGAAGUGGAGUGUGUGUCAUCUCCUUUGUCCUCAGUUAUUGUCCCAGGCUGUGAGCAAUGGUAGAACAUCAUCGCAGUUCUGAGUAACUACGAGAUAGCCACUUGCCACUCCUCUUCCAAAAGAGGAGGUCAAAUGCAACUUGGAAUUCAGGAUCCUUACCCUGGCUGCAUACUGCAUGGCACAAAUGGAACACACCCCGCAAUUAGAA
RNAcentral lists this long non-coding RNA (448 nucleotides) under Fukomys damarensis (Damara mole-rat). Its description in RNAcentral is "lncRNA (ENSFDAG00000022496.1)". The record is from RNAcentral. Lineage: Eukaryota; Metazoa; Chordata; Mammalia; Rodentia; Bathyergidae.